RNAcentral lists this ribosomal RNA (420 nucleotides) under uncultured crenarchaeote. RNAcentral's name for it is "bacterial SSU rRNA". It matches the Rfam family "Archaeal small subunit ribosomal RNA", at positions 459 to 879 of the family's 1478-position model. The record is from RNAcentral. Lineage: Archaea; Thermoproteati; Thermoproteota.
CAGUCGCCGCGGUAACACCAGCCCCUCGAGUGGUGGGGACUAUUAUUUGGCCUAAAGCGUCCGUAGCUGGCUGUAUCCGUCUCCCGGUAAAUCAGGCGUCCUAAGCGUCGGUUCUCGGGUGAUACCAUACAGCUAGAGGGUGGGAUAGGUGAGCGGUAUUUCUGGGGUAGGGGGGAAAUCCUUUGAUCCCAGGAGGACCACCAGUGGCGAAGGCGGUCAAGUAGAACCCGCCUGUCGGUCAGGGACGAAAUCUGGGGGAGCGAACCGGAUUAGAUUCCCGGGUAGUCCCAGCUGUAAUCGAUGCACGCUAGGUGUUGGGUCGGCCACGCGCCGCCCCAGUGCCGCAGGGAAGCCGUUAAGCCGCCCGCGUGGGGAGUACGGCCGCAAGGCUGAAAGUUAAAGGAAUUGGCGGGGGAGCAC